GGGCCUUGCAAAUAUUACCAUUGUCAGACACAUCUAACAAAAAUAUAUUCUUAUCAUUCCUUUAUCUUUGCUUUUUUUUUCCCCCCUCAAGAUUCCAUCUUGGAAAUUAAAUUAACCGAGCCCAGCUAGCAAGUCAACUCUUANAUCUAACAAAAAUAUAUUCUUAUCAUUCCUUUAUCUUUGCUUUUUUUUUCCCCCUCAAGAUUCCAUCUUGGAAAUUAAAUUAACCGAGCCCAGCUAGCAAGCCAACUCUUGCUGCCAGGCAUUGAGAAGAGGAUCUGGCCCUUGACAGUUUCUAUAGUGGGAAGCAGAACCCUGUUGACCCACAGGACCAUACAAGGCAGACCCAACUGCUUUGAGUUCCUCCAGUGAGUCAUGCAGAUCAAGCCUCCCUACCUUCCACCUGGAUGUAUAAGGAGAUGGAUUUUCAACAACUACUCCACAUCCCACCAUGGUUUGUGAUUACAUUCUAUUAGACGUGAUGAAGCAUCUUCAGAGAAGAGAGCCAUCAUAAUGAAGAAGAAAAUAGAUUGGCCUGCCAGUCUGACUCUGGAAAGAAUAAUUUAUCAGGUGAUCUCAUGUUUGAACACAAAGAUAAGAGUUAAGAACUCUGAAACUUGGUCAGCAUUAAUUUUCUACUGGC
This 643-nucleotide long non-coding RNA is filed under the name Vulpes vulpes (red fox). RNAcentral's name for it is "lncRNA (ENSVVUG00000012171.1)". The record is from RNAcentral. Lineage: Eukaryota; Metazoa; Chordata; Mammalia; Carnivora; Canidae.